RNAcentral lists this ribosomal RNA (497 nucleotides) under uncultured bacterium. RNAcentral describes it as "bacterial SSU rRNA". It matches the Rfam family "Bacterial small subunit ribosomal RNA", at positions 8 to 518 of the family's 1533-position model. The record is from RNAcentral.
AGAGUUUGAUUAUGGCUCAGGACGAACGCUGGCGGCGUGCCUAAUACAUGCAAGUCGAACGGAGUUAGAGACUUCGGUUUCUAACUUAGUGGCGAACGGGUGAGUAACGCGUGAGCAACCUGACUCAAAGAGGGGGACAACAGCUGGAAACGGCUGCUAAUACCGCAUAAGACCACAGCGCGGCAUCGCAAAGGGGUCAAAGAAAUUCGCUUUGAGAGGGGCUCGCAUCCCAUUAGAUAGUUGGUGAGGUAACGGCCCACCAAGUCCGCGAUGGGUAGCCGAGCUGAGAGGCUGAUCGGCCACACUGGAACUGAGACACGGUCCAGACUCCUACGGGAGGCAGCAGUAGGGAAUAUUGGGCAAUGGGCGCAAGCCUGAACCCCAGCAACGCCGCGUGAGGGAAGAAGGUUUUCGGAUUGUAAACCUCUGUCCUAUGUGACGAAGGAAGUGACGGUAGCAUAGGAGGAAGCCCCGGCUAACUACGUGCCAGCAGCAGC